RNAcentral lists this unclassified non-coding RNA (408 nucleotides) under Hevea brasiliensis (rubber tree). The record is from RNAcentral. Lineage: Eukaryota; Viridiplantae; Streptophyta; Magnoliopsida; Malpighiales; Euphorbiaceae.
CCACAGCUGCCGUUGAAUCAGCGAAAAAACCAAUAGUAUCUCCUUCGCACGAUCUGGUUCACACAAACACGUCGAAGGUAGAGGAGGCCGCGAGAUACUGGUCUUAUUCACGCACUCAAAGGGACUCCUUCUGACCUCACUUCCUCUCCUUCCUUUUCUGGCUUUUCUUCUUUGCUUUUGAGCCCAUGUCGUUCAAUCUCUUCUGCUACUCUGCGAUCCCCCUUCUCUAAAUCAAUCUCUAAAUGGCUGAUGUUUUACGAAUACCAUCUUUUUACUCACCUCGUUUCUCUUCUUCUUUGCUCACCUCCUUCGCCUCUACCUUGAAUUCUCUCCAACCUCCUCUCCAACCGCCUCUCCCACCCAACAAUUCAGAUAAGAGGAUUUACCCUUUAGUAUAUUCUUCUGCUG